AUUUAAACAAAUAUGUCAAUUGUUUACAUUAAAACUUUGAAUUUUUUAAAUUAGAUAAAACGUUUGAAACAACUAGGUGGAGGAACACCAUCGCAGCUUGUCAGCAAGUGCAUCAAUCAGACUCUUGAUAAGAGUGUACAAGCCCAGUUCAACAAAACAGGAAGUAAUGGGAAACGUGCUUUUAAAAAGACGCUACUCUGCAAAGCAAUUUUAGCUGCAUUAGUAUCAGAUGUGAAUUCAGCAAAAGUUAUUGAUUCGUUCAUUGGUGAACAAUUAAAGCGAGCACCUCGAGCCCUUGAAAAUGAGCUAGAUAAGUUUUUGUAAUUUUUUUUUAAAGGAGGAAUUAUGUUUGUAUUUUUAGUUUGUAAAAUAAUGAGCAUUUCUUA
Hydra vulgaris (swiftwater hydra) is the source of this 386-nucleotide long non-coding RNA. RefSeq lists it as uncharacterized. NCBI's taxonomy places the organism in Eukaryota, Metazoa, Cnidaria, Hydrozoa, Anthoathecata, Hydridae. The record is from RefSeq and is a predicted model, not a curated record.